RNAcentral lists this ribosomal RNA (589 nucleotides) under uncultured marine eukaryote. RNAcentral's name for it is "SSU rRNA". It matches the Rfam family "Eukaryotic small subunit ribosomal RNA", at positions 614 to 1210 of the family's 1831-position model. The record is from RNAcentral.
UGCAGUUAAAAAGCUCGUAGUUGGAUUUCGGAGUGGGCCAGUUGGUCCGCCGCAAGGUGUGUUACUGACUGGUUUGCUCUUCUUCGCAAAGACUGCGUGUGCUCUUGAGUGAGUGUGCGUAGGAUUUACGACGUUUACUUUGAAAAAAUUAGAGUGUUCAAAGCAGGCUAUUGCUUGAAUACAUGAGCAUGGAAUAAUGGAAUAGGACUUUGGUCCCAUUUUGUUGGUUUCUAGGGCCGAAGUAAUGAUUAAGAGGGACAAUUGGGGGCAUCCGUAUUUCGUUGUCAGAGGUGAAAUUCUUGGAUUUACGAAAGACGAACAACUGCGAAAGCACUUGCCAAGAGUGUUUUCAUUAAUCAAGAACGAAAGUUAGAGGAUCGAAGACGAUCAGAUACCGUCCUAGUUCUAACCAUAAACGAUGUCGACUAGGGAUCAGCGGGCGUUAUCGUACGACCCCGUUGGCACCUUACGGGAAACCAAAGUUUUUGGAUUCCAGGGGAAGUAUGGUUGCAAAGCUGAAACUUAAAGGAAUUGACGGAAGGGCACCACCAGGAGUGGAGCCUGUGGCUCAAUUUGACUCAACACGGGA